RNAcentral lists this ribosomal RNA (424 nucleotides) under Verrucomicrobiota bacterium. RNAcentral's name for it is "Verrucomicrobia bacterium partial 16S ribosomal RNA". It matches the Rfam family "Bacterial small subunit ribosomal RNA", at positions 355 to 776 of the family's 1533-position model. The record is from RNAcentral. Lineage: Bacteria; Pseudomonadati; Verrucomicrobiota.
UGAGGAAUAUUGGUCAAUGGACGAGAGUCUGAACCAGCCAAGUAGCGUGCAGGAUGACGGCCCUAUGGGUUGUAAACUGCUUUUGUUUGGGAAUAAUCGACAUUACGUGUAAUGUUUUGCAUGUACCAUUCGAAUAAGGACCGGCUAAUUCCGUGCCAGCAGCCGCGGUAAUACGGAAGGUCCAGGCGUUAUCCGGAUUUAUUGGGUUUAAAGGGAGUGUAGGCGGUUGGUUAAGCGUGUUGUGAAAUGUAGAUGCUCAACAUCUGACUUGCAGCGCGAACUGGCUGACUUGAGUACACACAACGUAAGCGGAAUUCAUGGUGUAGCGGUGAAAUGCUUAGAUAUCAUGAAGAACUCCGAUUGCGAAGGCAGCUUACGGGAGCGCAACUGACGCUGAAGCUCGAAGGUGCGGGUAUCGAACAGG